AUGCUACCGGGCGACCGGAUGCGGAUCUCGAAAGCCUGUCCCAGUUCGGACUGGAGUCUGCAACCCGACUCCACGAAGUUGGAUUCGCUAGUAAUCGCGCAUCAGCCAUGGCGCGGUGAAUACGUUCCCGGGCCUUGUACACACCGCCCGUCAAGCCAUGGGAGCCGGGGGCGCCUGAAGUCCGGGACCGCGAGGACCGGCCUAGGGCGAAACUGGUAACUGGGGCUAAGUCGUAACAAGGUAGC
RNAcentral lists this ribosomal RNA (245 nucleotides) under uncultured bacterium. RNAcentral's name for it is "partial 16S ribosomal RNA". It matches the Rfam family "Bacterial small subunit ribosomal RNA", at positions 1247 to 1500 of the family's 1533-position model. The record is from RNAcentral.